Molecule: ribosomal RNA, 470 nt
Filed under: uncultured bacterium
Lineage: Bacteria
Description: bacterial SSU rRNA
Rfam family: Bacterial small subunit ribosomal RNA
Source: RNAcentral
ACGCGCAGAACCUUACCAACCCUUGACAUCCUUGGACCGCUAGAGAGAUCUAGUUUUCUCGUAAGAGACCAAGUGACAGGUGCUGCAUGGCUGUCGUCAGCUCGUGUCGUGAGAUGUUCGGUUAAGUCCGGCAACGAGCGCAACCCACAUCUUUAGUUGCCAGCAGGUUAAGCUGGGCACUCUAGAGAAACUGCCCGUGAUAAGCGGGAGGAAGGUGUGGAUGACGUCAAGUCCUCAUGGCCCUUACGGGUUGGGCUACACACGUGCUACAAUGGCAUCAACAAUGGGUUAAUCCCUAAAAGAUGUCUCAGUUCGGAUUGGGGUCUGCAACUCGACCCCAUGAAGUCGGAAUCGCUAGUAAUCGCGUAACAGCAUGACGCGGUGAAUACGUUCCCGGGCCUUGUACACACCGCCCGUCACACCAUGGGAGUUGGAUCUACCCGAAGGCCGUGCGCCAACCCGUAAGGGNG